AUUGAACGCUGGCGGCAGGCCUAACACAUGCCAGUCGAGCGGAUGAAGGGAGCUUGCUCCUGGAUUCAGCGGCGGACGGGUGAGUAAUGCCUAGGAAUCUGCCUGGUAGUGGGGGAUAACGUCCGGAAACGGGCGCUAAUACCGCAUACGUCCUGAGGGAGAAAGUGGGGGAUCUUCGGACCUCACGCUAUCAGAUGAGCCUAGGUCGGAUUAGCUAGUUGGUGGGGUAAAGGCCUACCAAGGCGACGAUCCGUAACUGGUCUGAGAGGAUGAUCAGUCACACUGGAACUGAGACCCGGUCCAGCCUCCUACGGGGGGCAGCAGGGGGGAAUUUGGGAAAAUGGGCGAAAGCCUACUCCAGCCAUGCCGGGUGUGUGAAGAAGGUCUUCGGAUUGUAAAGCAUUUUAAGUUGGGGGGAAGGGCAGUAAGUUAAUACCUUGCUGUUUUGACGUUACCAACAGAAUAAGCACCGGAUAACUUCGU
Molecule: ribosomal RNA, 483 nt
Filed under: uncultured bacterium
Lineage: Bacteria
Description: partial 16S ribosomal RNA
Rfam family: Bacterial small subunit ribosomal RNA
Source: RNAcentral